AGAGCGAACGCUGGCGGCAGGCCUAACACAUGCAAGUCGAGCGGCCGUAGCAAUACGGCAGCGGCAGACGGGAGAGUAACACGUGGGAACGCGCCCUUCGGUUCGGAAUAACUCAGGGAAACUUGGGCUAAUACCGGAUACGCCCUUACGGGGAAAGAUUUAUUGCCGAAGGAACGGCCCGCGUCCGAUUAGCUUGUUGGUGAGGUAACGGCUCACCAAGGCGACGAUCGGUAGCUGGUCUGAGAGGAUGACCAGCCUCACUGGGACUGAGACACGGCCCAGACUCCUACGGGAGGCAGCAGUGGGGAAUAUUGGACAAUGGGCGAAAGCCUGAUCCAGCAAUGCCGCGUGUGUGAAGAGGUCUUCGGAUUGUAAAGCACUUUCGACGGGGACGAUGAUGACGGUACCCGUAGAAGAAGCCCCGGCUAACUUCGUGCCAGCAGCCGC
Molecule: ribosomal RNA, 447 nt
Filed under: uncultured bacterium
Lineage: Bacteria
Description: SSU rRNA
Rfam family: Bacterial small subunit ribosomal RNA
Source: RNAcentral